UUAGGGAUAGCAGCGGUAAGGCAAGGGACUUUGACUCCCUCAUGCGUUGGUUCGAAUCCAGCUCCCCGUC
This 70-nucleotide transfer RNA is filed under the name Streptococcus agalactiae LMG 14609. RNAcentral describes it as "tRNA-Gln". It matches the Rfam family "tRNA". From Rfam's summary of the family: Transfer RNA (tRNA) molecules are approximately 80 nucleotides in length. The record is from RNAcentral. Lineage: Bacteria; Bacillati; Bacillota; Bacilli; Lactobacillales; Streptococcaceae.